AUCGUGAAACGUUGAUUGGACGGUGGGUAUGAUGUACGUUUCAUCAUCCGCAUCUGUAAUA
RNAcentral lists this non-coding RNA (61 nucleotides) under Plasmodium falciparum 3D7. The record is from RNAcentral. Lineage: Eukaryota; Apicomplexa; Aconoidasida; Haemosporida; Plasmodiidae.